GGCGGUAUGACCGAGUGGUUAUGGUGCUGCGUUUAGGAACUACCCAAAUUCAAAAUUUAGGUAUGUAUACUUUACCGCAGUGGAGCAAUCCGCGUGGGUUCGAAUCCCACUGCCGUCA
Molecule: non-coding RNA, 118 nt
Organism: Hypoxylon fuscum
Lineage: Eukaryota; Fungi; Ascomycota; Sordariomycetes; Xylariales; Hypoxylaceae
Source: the annotation of a GenBank genome assembly